Panicum virgatum (switchgrass) is the source of this 603-nucleotide long non-coding RNA. RefSeq lists it as uncharacterized. The record is from RefSeq and is a predicted model, not a curated record. The transcript has 2 exons. NCBI's taxonomy places the organism in Eukaryota, Viridiplantae, Streptophyta, Magnoliopsida, Poales, Poaceae.
ACGCCACCCACCUCUCCCACUCAUCAGUGCCCUACCCGCGCCGCCGCCGCCGUCCCCGCCCUUGUCGCCGGAGGAACCCCUGGCCAAAGCCUCAAAUUUUGCAGCCGCCGCCGAAGCUGGCGUUCGCGUAGGAGGUUGCGCCAUCUCCUGGAUCCAUCCGGUGAGCCGCCGCCGUCUCCUUGUCGGGAUACUUUUGCAAGCCGCCGCCGCCCUCAGAUGUUGAUUUCACCCCCGAGCUUGAAGUUUCAGAACAUUCUGAAUGAGCUCCUCAAUUGGCGCAUUGGAGCUUCAUGUUGGGAUGAUGCAUAUGCACCUUUCAAGUUUCAGAGAACACUCUGAAUGAGCUCCUCAAUAAUCCAGCUCUUAGGAGUCUUAGGAGCCAGUCGUUUGCGUUUGGCAACAUGUGCUGCUGCAAACUGAAAAGGGAUUGGCACCAGUAAUUCACAGGAUAUGUAUUCAUUUUCGGUCAGUAUGAAGUGCAGAAUCCAUGAGUUCCCCUCACUGGUGUCAAUAGAACUAAAUAAACAUUGAUUAUUUUCUUUUCUUUGGUCUCUCGACCUGUUAUCCUGAAUUUUGCAUACAGUUCAUUCUGUUUGACCCUCU